Molecule: ribosomal RNA, 1469 nt
Filed under: uncultured Bordetella sp.
Lineage: Bacteria; Pseudomonadati; Pseudomonadota; Betaproteobacteria; Burkholderiales; Alcaligenaceae
Description: partial 16S-23S ribosomal RNA intergenic spacer
Rfam family: Bacterial small subunit ribosomal RNA
Source: RNAcentral
GGUUUGAUUGCGGCUCAGAUUGAACGCUGGCGGAUGUUUACACAUGCAAGUCGAACGGCAGCACGGACUUCGGUCUGGUGGCGAGUGGCGAACGGGUGAGUAAUGUAUCGGAACGUGCCUAGUAGCGGGGGAUAACUAGCGCAAAGCGUAGCUAAUACCGCAUACCCUUCGGGGGAAAGCGGGGGACCUUUCUCGGGCCUCGCACUAUUAGAGCGGCCGUGAUAUCGGAUUAGCUAGUUGGUGGGGUAACGGCUCACCAUGCGACGAUCCGUAGCUGGUUUGAGAGGACGACCAGCCACACUGGGACUGAGACACGGCCCAGACUCCUACGGGAGGCAGCAGUGGGGAAUUUUGACAAUGGGGGAAACCCUGAUCCAGCCAUCCUGGGCGUGUGCGAUGAAGGCCUUCGGGUUGUAAAAGCACUUUUGGCAGGAAGAAACGGCACGGAUAAUACCCGUGCAACUGACGGUACCUGCAGAAUAAGCACCGGUUAACUACGUGCCAGCAGCCGCGGUAAUGGCCGUAGGGUGCAAGCGUUAAUCGGAAUUACUGGGCGUAAAGUUGCGCAGGCGGUUCGGAAGAAGAUGAAACCCAGGAGCUGAACUUUGAACCGCAUUUUUUAAUCACCGUUUGAAAGCUGAGGUGGAGGUGAAUCUAUGUGCAUCGCGAUACAGCGGAGGAAUCAACCGAUGCGAGCACCUCCUGAUAACCAUCGACGCCCAUGCAUCCAAAGUGGAGAGCAAACAGGAUUAGAUACCUCCGGUAGUCCACGCCCUAAACGAUGUCAACUAGCUGUUGGGGCCUUCGGGCUCGGUAGCGCAGCUAACGCGUGAAGUUGACCGCCUGGGGAGUACGGUCGCAAGAUUAAAACUCAAAGGAAUUGACGGGGACUCGCACAAGCGGUGGAUGAUGUGGAUUAAUUCGAUGAACGCGAAAAACCUACCUUACCUUUGACAUGUCUGGAAUCCCGGAAGAGAUUUGGGAGUGCUCGCAAGAGAAACCGGAACACAGGUGCUGCAUGGCUGUCGUCAGCCUGUGUCGUGAGAUGUUGGGUUAAGUCCCGCAACGAGCGCAACCCUUGUCAUUAGUUGCCACAGCAGCACCCCCACGAGACUGCUUCUCGGUGACAAACCGGAGGAAGGUGGGGGAUGACGUCAAGUCCUCAUGGCCCUUGCGGUAGGGGCUUCACACGUCAUACAAUGGUCGGGACAGUGGUCGCCAACCCGCGAGGGGGAGCCAAUCCCAGAAACCCGAUCGUAGGUCCGAUCGCAGUCUGCAACUCGACUGCGUGAAGUCGGAAUCGCUAGUAAUCGCGGAUCAGCAUGUCGCGGUGAAUACGUUCCCGGGUCUUGUACACACCGCCUGUCACACCAUGGGAGUGGGUUUUACCAGAAGUAGUUAGCCUAACCGUAAGGAGGGCGAUUACCACGGUAGGAUUCAUGACUGGGGUGAAGUCGUACGCCGGCACC